Molecule: ribosomal RNA, 273 nt
Filed under: uncultured bacterium
Lineage: Bacteria
Description: partial 16S ribosomal RNA
Rfam family: Bacterial small subunit ribosomal RNA
Source: RNAcentral
UGAUUCGUAACUUAGUGGCGGACGGGGUGAGUAACGCGUGGAUAACCUGCCUUGCACUGGGGGAUAACACUGAGAAAUCGGUACUAAUACCCCAUAACAUCCAGGGAGGCAUCUUCUUGGGUUGAAAACUCCGGUGGUAAUGGAUGGGCAUGCGUUGUAUUAGUUAGUUGGUGGGGUAACGGCUCACCAAGACAACGAUACAUAGGGGGACUGAGAGGUUAACCCCCCACAUUGGUACUGAGACACGGACCAAACUCCUACGGGAGGCAGCAG